RNAcentral lists this long non-coding RNA (228 nucleotides) under Ursus maritimus (polar bear). RNAcentral's name for it is "lncRNA (ENSUMAG00000016704.1)". Lineage: Eukaryota; Metazoa; Chordata; Mammalia; Carnivora; Ursidae. The record is from RNAcentral.
ACCACACUUCACUAUUCUAUCUUCCAGAUCUCUUCCACUGGCAACACUACCCUUCCAGAGAAUAGCAUGGAGGCGAGCAUGGAAAGGGGAAUUUCAGCCUCUGUGGGAGAUCUGAGAACUUCUGUGCUCUCGAAACUUCUAAUUGAGCAUAAAGAAGGCUGAUUUAUUGCAUGAAUAUCCUCUCAACAUCAGAAGGGGAUUCUGAAGUUAUAACAAAUUUUGCUUGUG